AGGAUGAACGCUGGCGGCGUGCUUAACACAUGCAAGUCGAACGGUGGUCGCAAGAUCACAGUGGCGCACGGGUGAGGAACACGUAGCUUAUCUGCCCAGAAGCGCGGGAUAACGCUCCGAAAGGAGUGCUAAUACCGCAUAAGCUCCCGGACUCUAGAGGUCUGGGAGAAAAGGGGCAACCCACUUUUGGAGGAGGCUGCGGCCCAUCAGGUAGUUGGUGCGGUAACGGCGCACCAAGCCAACGACGGGUAGGGGACCUGAGAGGGUGAUCCCCCACACUGGGACUGAGACACGGCCCAGACUCCUACGGGAGGCAGCAGUGAGGAAUAUUGCCCAAUGGAGGAAACUCUGAGGCAGCGACGCCGCGUGGGUGAUGAAGGCCUUCGGGUCGUAAAGCCCUUUUCUGCGUGACGAGGCAAAGGACGGUAGCGCAGGAAAAGUCUCGGCUAACUACGUGCCAGCAGCCGC
RNAcentral lists this ribosomal RNA (468 nucleotides) under uncultured bacterium. RNAcentral describes it as "SSU rRNA". It matches the Rfam family "Bacterial small subunit ribosomal RNA", at positions 26 to 518 of the family's 1533-position model. The record is from RNAcentral.